AUACGGAGGGUGCAAGCGUUGUCCGGAUUUAUUGGGUUUAAAGGGUGCGUAGGCGGAUAAAUAAGUCAGUGGUGAAAUACUUCAGCUCAACUGGAGAGGUGCCAUAGAAACUGUAUAUCUUGAGUGAAGUCGAAGUAGGCGGAAUUGAUGGUGUAGCGGUGAAAUGCAUAGAUAUCAUCAAGAACACCGAUAGCGAAGGCAGCUUACUUGGUUUCAACUGACGCUGAUGCACGAAAGCGUGGGGAGCGAACAGGAUUAGAUACCCCGGUAGUCC
RNAcentral lists this ribosomal RNA (274 nucleotides) under uncultured bacterium. RNAcentral describes it as "partial 16S ribosomal RNA". It matches the Rfam family "Bacterial small subunit ribosomal RNA", at positions 523 to 796 of the family's 1533-position model. The record is from RNAcentral.